AGAGAAGGAAGAUACAUCAUGGAAAACACAUCAUCUGGUUGUGCACGGUCUUUCGCUUGCUGCCAGGUGCUUCCAAGAUGUGAGCCUUCAUCAAACAAUAAACCACUGCUAUAUACUAUGAAGAUGGGCAUGUUGGCCAUACUGAGAUCUGAUAGAGAUGGGUUCUUUCUGGUAAAAGAGAAAGAAGAACAUAUUUAUACAACUGCUGCUCCCCAACAGAUCAUACCAAUCCAUGUGCAAGCAACUUACACAUGCUCCUCUGAAGAAAACAGUAAGAGAAGCCAUAUCCUCUAGCAGCAAUCUCAGCUCAUCUGCUUUCCCAGCUCUUUCUAAGAACACCUACUGGAGUCCCAUCUGAAGAACAGAAACUGGACAGCAGCAGCAAGGAUUGAAAAUAGGUACAGAAAUUCUGAAACUUGGCAGAGGCGAUUGGGUGAAAGUGCCAUCUUCCAAACUAUUUUGGCUUUUACAUUUUCUCCAACAACUCAGUACAGAGUAGUGUUUAUAAUUAUUAGCAGCCCUGUAUGAUGUAGCAGAGGAGAACCAUGUACUUUUAUUAUGCUCUUGCCUGUUUAUAGUUCACCUGUUAAAACGUUCUCAGUAUUCUAGCAAAAGGACAGUAAACACGAUCUGUGACUGAGUUUCUGAAGGAAUGAAAAUAUAUUCUACAUAUUCUAUAUAUGUUGCUUUUCUACAGAACAAACUGAAACAAAAUCAUCUGGCCUUUAAACAGUUUUAAAGAGUUUAUUAUCACACUUGAAAAAUAACAAUGCAAAUUGAAAGAAUUUGAAGUUCUGGAUAUGGCCACUGUUGUUUUUAUACUAGGAAAUGCCUGAGUGACAUGCUGGGGGAGGCAGAGAAGAAAUCACAUACGUAUUCUCCUCCAAACAUUGUAAUCUAUCUUACCUGCAGACUCCAUGCAAUAUCAGUAUGCCUUCAUGGCACAUGCCUCUUGAAGUCACUCCUACUUAACUUUCCAUCUGCUAAAUUUCAUAAAUUUGAUCCAAAACCAUUCCUUCUUUUCAGCUUUCAGUCAUUACAAAUGCUAACAUACAUUCUCCUUACUGUUUGUCUUUUGUCCUGGUCUGAAACUUUGAUUUGAAAUAAGGUGAAAUAAAAGUUCCUGGAGGUUGGAG
Gallus gallus (chicken) is the source of this 1136-nucleotide long non-coding RNA. RefSeq lists it as uncharacterized. Lineage: Eukaryota; Metazoa; Chordata; Aves; Galliformes; Phasianidae. The transcript is spliced from 4 exons. The record is from RefSeq and is a predicted model, not a curated record.